RNAcentral lists this ribosomal RNA (482 nucleotides) under uncultured bacterium. RNAcentral's name for it is "partial 16S ribosomal RNA". It matches the Rfam family "Bacterial small subunit ribosomal RNA", at positions 30 to 507 of the family's 1533-position model. The record is from RNAcentral.
AUUGAACGCUGGCGGCAUGCCUAACACAUGCAAGUCGAACGGCAGCGCGGGGCAACCUGGCGGCGAGCGGUGGACGGGGGCGUAAUAGUUAGGAAUGUACCCAGAACUGGGGGAUAACGUAGCAAAAGGUACGCUAAUACCGCAUACGUUCUACGGUAGCAAACGGGGGACCUCAGGGCCUCAUGCUUUUGUUGCGGCCGAUGUCUGAUUAGCUAGUUGGUGAGGUAAAGGCUCACCAAGGCGACGAUCAGUAGCUGGUCUGAGAGGACGAUCAGCCACACUGGAACUGAGACACGGCCCAGACUCCUACGGGAGGCAGCAGUGGGGAAUUUUGGACAAUGGGCGCAAGCCUGAUCCAGCAAUGCCGCGUGAGUGAAGAAGGCCUUCGGGUUGUAAAGCUCUUUUGUUAGGGAAGAAAAGGAGGAGGAUAAUACCUUCGUGUAAUGACGGUACCUAAAGAAUAAGCACCGGCUAACUACGUG